Molecule: unclassified non-coding RNA, 292 nt
Filed under: Hevea brasiliensis (rubber tree)
Lineage: Eukaryota; Viridiplantae; Streptophyta; Magnoliopsida; Malpighiales; Euphorbiaceae
Source: RNAcentral
CAAAAGAAGAGAUUCAUAGUUCCAUUUUCAGUCUUGAAUCAGCCUUCAUUCCAAGAAUUGCUGAGAAAGGCAGAGGAAGAAUUUGGAUUUGAUCACCCAAUGGGCGGUCUUACACUUCCUUGCAGAGAAGACAUCUUCCUUGACACUAUUUCAGGCUUGAAUUCAUUGUGAUAUAAAGAAACAAAUCAGAAAAAUCAGUUUUGUAAAAUCAUUGUACAUUUUGUCCAUUUUUUUUUAUAGAUGAUAAUAGAAAUUUGAGCAGUUGUUCUUACUUUCUCUGCAUCAAUUUUAG